CUCAAAUUGAUUUGAUUUUAACGCAAUAUUUACACUGAAGCUCGCAGCAGGAAGCUUUAGUAAGAGGCAGGGCAUUUCCCAACCAGGCGCCGAGUCUAACCAAUCAAAGCACACACUGGCCCAGCUAACCAAUCACAGCACAUCUCCAAUUCCAGAAGGCGGGCCUUCAUUUGAUACAGGAACUAUUCGAGCUGUUCAUGCCAGACUAGGGAGAGAGGUAUUGUCAUAAUGUUAAAUAUGUGAAAAAUAAUGUGUUUUUUGACUAACCUA
Molecule: long non-coding RNA, 270 nt
Organism: Carassius carassius (crucian carp)
Lineage: Eukaryota; Metazoa; Chordata; Actinopteri; Cypriniformes; Cyprinidae
Exons: 2
Source: RefSeq, a predicted model, not a curated record